CCCUUAGAUGUUCUGGGCUGCACGCGUGUUACAAUCGGGAGUACAACAAGAUUGCAAAUCCUAGUGGAUGAGUGGUUCGUCGAAAUUUUCUGAAGACUGGGAUAGUUGAUUGAAAUUAUUCAACUCGAACGAGGAAUUCCUUGUAAUUGUAAUUCAUUAUAUUGUAAUGAAUACGUCCCUGCCCUUUGUACACACCGCCCGUCGCUCCUACCGAUUGAACGAUCCGGUGAAUUAUUUGGAGUAGCUCUGGAAGUUGCAGAACUUCCUAUGUCACGAAAUUUUGUAAACCUUAUCGUUUAGAGGAAGGAAAAGUCGUAACA
RNAcentral lists this ribosomal RNA (320 nucleotides) under uncultured eukaryote. RNAcentral describes it as "partial 18S ribosomal RNA". It matches the Rfam family "Eukaryotic small subunit ribosomal RNA", at positions 1470 to 1796 of the family's 1831-position model. The record is from RNAcentral.